This 381-nucleotide ribosomal RNA is filed under the name uncultured eukaryote. RNAcentral describes it as "SSU rRNA". It matches the Rfam family "Eukaryotic small subunit ribosomal RNA", at positions 583 to 974 of the family's 1831-position model. The record is from RNAcentral.
UUCCAGCUCCAAUAGCGUAUAUUAAAGUUGUUGCAGUUAAAAAGCUCGUAGUUGGAUUUCUGGGAGGGUGCCAAUGUCCGCUUGUUGCGUGUGCAGCGGCGCCCUUCCAUCCUUCUGUUAACGUUUCUUGGUAUUAACUUACUGGUUGCGGGCUCAGAUAUUUACCUUGAGAAAAUUAGAGUGUUUAAGGCAGGCUUGUGCCCGAAUACAUUAGCAUGGAAUAAUAGAAUAGAGCUUUGGUCUCCUUUGUUGGGUUUGAGGGACUAGAGUAAUGAUUAAUAGGGACAGUUGGGGGCAUUAGUAUUUAAUUGUCAGAGGUGAAAUUCUCGGAUUUGUUAAAGACUAACUUAUGCGAAAGCAUUUGCCAAGGAUGUUUUCAUU